This is an RNA transcript of Aphis gossypii (cotton aphid), 2047 nucleotides long. It is a transcript of the gene named programmed cell death protein 2, with no coding region annotated. The record is from RefSeq and is a predicted model, not a curated record. Lineage: Eukaryota; Metazoa; Arthropoda; Insecta; Hemiptera; Aphididae. The transcript is spliced from 7 exons.
AGAUCUAUCUAUUCUGUGGCCACCUCAUGUCCCGUCGGUAUUGCUCGUCUAGUAGUAUGAGGUCUGUGGGUUGUACGUGUUUAAUUAUUAAUAAAUAAUAAUAUUCAUAUUGACAUUUAUCAGUGAUCACCGAGUAAUUAAUAAUUACUUUAAAGUUUUUUAUAAUAAAAAAACAAAUCACUUUUUAAAAAUACUGUAUUUUUAUUGCUAAAGUUUCAAAGUCGUUUUUAUAUUUUCGAAAAUCAUGCCUGUUUUGUUAGGUACUAUUGACAAACAUUCAAUUACUCAGCCUCAUGAACUUACUAGUGCUUUUUUCCCGUCCAAAGUGGGCGGGAAACCAGCUUGGUUAGAUUUUAAUAAUAUUCCAGAAGCAAGUGAGCUGACCUGUUUGAAGUGUAAUAUUCCUCUAGUUUUCUUGUGUCAAUUAUAUGCACCAAUCGAUGAACCUGGAUUUUCUAAUUUCUGUUUCCAUCGAACUUUGUUUGUGUUCUUUUGCAAUGAAUGUAAAGAUGAAAGAACAUUUACCGUCUUUAGGACACAGCUUCGUAGAGUAAAUGAAUACUAUCAAGAAGAACCAGCUGAUAUUGAAGUUGCAGAUACUAUUACACCUGCUUUGUGGGGAAUACAAUUAUGUAAAGUAUGUGGGUGCAAGUCAACAGUAGAAUAUGAAAAUAUCUAUUGCAGUUUACACCAUAAAAAUAUUGAUAUAAAUAAAGAAUUGAAAGACAAAUUUAUUGUGGUGUUACCAGAAUAUAUUAUUAAUGAAGGGUGUGACGAAGAUUCAGAAAAUGCAUCAUUGAAUAGCGAAGAUGAUGAAAGUGACUAUAGUGAUGAUAGUGAUGACGCGGCUCAUAUUCCAAAAGGAUCUCUUCAAGAUAUGGAUGGUAUAGAUGAAGCUUUGUUAGAAAUGGCUUAUGCAGGUGAUAAAGAUGAUGAAUAUUUUGAAAAGUUUAAAAAAUCAAUAUCUUCAGUUCCUGAACAAAUUAUUAGGUACAACCGCUUAGGGUCACCAUUGUGGAUCUGUACUAAAAGCAUUCCUGAGGCUAAGGAUAUUCCAUCUUGCCAAUAUUGUGGUAAACAAAGAAGUUUUGAAUUUCAGAUAAUGCCUCAAAUGUUAUACUAUUUAAAAUUGCCAGAAUCUUCAACCAAAGAAUCAUUCAAUUUCGGUAUUCUAGCCGUCUAUACUUGUCCUGAUAGUUGCGAUGAUGGUCAAAAAUAUAAAAAAGAAUUUUUGUGGGAGCAGAGUCCACUAUGAUAAUUGGUUACUUUAUACAAAUAAUUUAUUUAACAAAGAUUAUUUUCUUACAUUAACUGUUUAUAAUGUAUCAUUGCAAUGUGGGAUCAUUUCAUUUUAUAAUUAACUUUCAACAGUCAGAGUUUAAGAUAUACAGUGGAAACCACUUUAAAGACUCGUAGAUAUAAGGUUCAGUUGCUUAGAAGACUCAAGAUUGUUUGGAACAGUCUGCACGUAUCCAUUUACAUUAUACUAAAUACGACCAUAGGACUCAAAUUUCAAAAAAUGGCAGAAAAUUAACAUUUUUGAUUAAAAUUAAAAAUAAAUUGGUUUUGAAAAGUUACAUAGUACUUUUGUUGGUAAUUACUGAUUUCAAUUCAUGCUUUAUAAUAUGUGAAUGUACAACAAAUUGUGUUGCAAUUAUUGUUAUUAUAAUGUGAGAUAUAAAAAAUACACUCAUUAUUACAGCUAUCGUAAUUUUUAAAUUGAAAAAAAGCCUAUAAGAUUCAUUUGGCUGUAACUCAUUUUGUAUUGGUCCAAAGUGAGUCUUAUAAGUGGUGUCCAACUGUAUUGUGGUUAUAGCAUAUUAACCUUAAUAGUCAAUACUUGAAAUUGUCACUGAGUAAUACAUUAUAAUAUGUUUGUAUUGCCAUUUUUGGAAAUUAGAGGUGUGGUUAAUAUGAUUUGUAUGGUAUUGAAAGUACAAAUGAAGUUUUAAGUAUAGAUAGAGCUUCAAAAAGUAACUACAAUUAGUAAAAAUUAACUACUAUGUAUCAGUCUAGUAAAGUAAUAAAUUAAAUUAUUUUUUUACUA